UCUCAAAUUAAACAAAAUUGAUUUAUAUGCUCAUUCAUUCAAACCACUUAAAAGUUUAUAUACCAAACAACCAAAGGAAAAUCUUUGUUAACCAUUAUCCACUAGUGUAAACCACCUUGCCAUCAUUACAACAUGCGCACGGAUUCUUUUCCAAACAUCACAUCUGGUACAAGUAUCAGGUGUUUUAAAAUUAUCAAUUUGAACAUGCGGAUAUAUGGUAACAUUAGGUUUUGCACAAAUUGGUAUUGUACAAAGAUAAUAAGGAAAUGGAAAGAGUAUUUGAACUGAACAUAGAUGCAUGUAUGCAUGAUACAAUGAUGAAGACAUCAUCAUGGGGCACCCACAGCUGGAGAAAAGGCCUUCAGUACUGCUACUAAAAGGUCUCCGAGGACGUCCAAAUUUGGACCCGGGGGUCAAAAUAUGACCAGUACUAAUAUAUGGGAUGAAAGGUUAUUUUUCUAGUAGUGAUCUGGAGUACCACCACGGAUCCUACCAUUAUUGCCACCACCGUAGUGACUUGGAGUGCCACCACGGGUCCUACCAUUAUUGCCACCACCGUACCAGUAGUAGCCACCUAAGCCACGCCCACGGCUAGCUGCAAAUCAACCAAAAGUAUUGUAAAUAAGAGUCAAUUACUAGAACAUUAUUAUUGCUUCCUUGCUAUGCAUGUGCAGUAAUCUGAAAAUAAAUUGAUUUGGAGAUUUAAUAUUUAACGAUCAUUUUAGUAUGUUUUUGUCAACAAACUGCUCAUUUGUCUGGGUAUUAAAUCUAAAUGCAUCAAUUAGUUAAUUGAGGUUGCCCUAACCAUGUCAGGUUGCAUGUUGGUACAUCUAGCUUGGAAGAUUAUGACGCAUGUUGGGUGCAAAUCCAUUACCGACUGACCGGUACUAAAGGGCGCAUUUAGUACCAGGCAUUUUGGCCGGUACUAAAGGGCGUGAAAUUUAGUACCGAAUUAGCAAUACGGAUCUUGUGCCUGGUACUAAGAUGGGUUACUGACCGGUACUAAAGGUCGAUUCUCCAGUAGCAUUACCAUGUUGUACUAAAACAUCUCCCACGAUUGAAUUGAAAAGGAAAGCAUCCCUUAUUCAAGUUGAAUGUGUUGGGUAGGUGAGAUGGUAAGAAUGCUACUUAUGAGGCGCUAGAGGUUUUGAGUUUGAAUCUUACGCACCUACAUGGAUAUUUCGUGUGAAAAACAUAUGACUUUGUCCACACGUGUGUAGGCCUUAUUGGGAUUUGAAAGUUUUCCAUCAUUUUUUGGCCAUGAAACCCUAUAGUAUCCAUAUUAAACUAAAGGUACCUUUAGUUACAGGUGAGCAACCCUAUACUAAAUGCUGAGUCUUUUAGUCUCGGUUUCAUCGUACCGGAUAGAAAACCCCAGAUAGAAAACCCGGUACAAAUGAGGAAUUUUCUAGUAAUGCAUGCCCGACAAAGAUCCUAACUGAGAUCAAUAAAAUUUCUUCAUUUCAAUAAUUGUUUUUAGAAAACUAGGAUCCUACGAAAUUGGGGCCAUGUGCAGGUGCACGACUCCUACGUGAUGCUCAAGCACUGACGGGUUUUUUUUUUUACCCUUAGGGACACUGAAAUUUUGUAUGUAAAAAGCAAACUCUUUUACAGUGAUUUAAAAAGUACCCACUGAUAAUUGUUUGUAAUUUUAUUUGCGAUUUUUGUUGACGUCUUAUAUGAAAAAACAAUUAAAAACUUAAAUUUAGGGACUAUUUUGGUACUUUGUCCCACCAAUUUAGUAGUCCGCCUUAGCUUUCGCAAAAAUAAUAGCAGUUCUUGGUACUUCUCUUUAGAUAUUUGAUAUUUGAAGGUACUUGUUUCCACCCUUAGAUUUCUCCAACUAUACUAAAAUUUCCUAAAAAGAAUAUGCACUCAAAAGGAGUUAAAGAAAGAUUAAUUACCAUGCCUAGUGUGGGUGAGAUCUCUUGCAGCGGACGCGCCCUGUAAAAUUAUGGCGAGAGAGACCAAUACCAUACAGAGCAAGACAAGAAGCUUGGAGGACAUUGCUGGGGAUGACAUUGUAGCCUUCAAUGUAUACGAUGUUGCUCUGUGACGCUGAUAAAUGCGACGAUACAUGUACACGGAUAUAUAGGAUGGAGGCCUGCUACUUGUUACAAUGAUUGAGACUGC
This 2133-nucleotide long non-coding RNA is filed under the name Setaria italica (foxtail millet). RNAcentral describes it as "long non-coding RNA (SITA_LNC003000)". Lineage: Eukaryota; Viridiplantae; Streptophyta; Magnoliopsida; Poales; Poaceae. The record is from RNAcentral.